Passer domesticus (house sparrow) is the source of this 2724-nucleotide long non-coding RNA. RefSeq lists it as uncharacterized. The transcript is spliced from 3 exons. Lineage: Eukaryota; Metazoa; Chordata; Aves; Passeriformes; Passeridae. The record is from RefSeq and is a predicted model, not a curated record.
GAGAUGUGACCCGGGAACAGAACAAAGCAGGCUCUCAUUCGGGGAUGGAGGGAAAAAAAAAAACAUAACACUUUAUUUAUUACAAAUCUAGAAAGGAACACAUACUAAACUAAGAAUGAAAACCUUCCAGAUACCUUCCUCCUCCCCCUCCCUUUUCUCCAGAGAUCCACCACCCCUCAAAUUAUCAACCCUCAAAUCCAUCAGGGAGAGAGGAGUCCCCCCUUGCUUCAUGGGCCUCCCCCGGAAGCACAAUUGAAACCUCCUGUGCUUCCGUGUCACCCAUGGCCCCACCCAGAGAACAUCGGCCCUCGUGACUUCUCCCCCCCCAUGUCCAGUGCUCUCACCACUGGACACGGGCCAGGACUGCUUUUAGGGCUCCCCGUUUAAAGAUGCUCCACCCACUUCCAGAAGCAGCAGUCUCUCAACUCUUGGGACACCAGUCCCCCCCAAAUUUCACCCCCUGGGGCCGAGGGGCCUCAUGAACAGAGAUCUUUCUCUCCGUGGAGACAGAGGGCAUCCCACACCCCCUUCAGCCGUCUCUGUUCACGCCACUGCUUCACUCUUGACUCCCGGGUGUUGCCUUCCCCUAAAUACAGUCUCUGGGUCACAGGGAAAAAACACGGGUCUGUCCAUGGCUAUACAAGAAAGAGUCCAGCCCAAGGCCACUCCAUCAUCUCUUCUACUCAGGAUUCUUCUCUCUUCCAGCUUUCCUCACGCUUGCCCAUCUCUCAUCUCUUUCUCACCUCAUCCUGAUUCAGGAGGAUUCAGUAUUUGUAAGGUUUCUAUUAGUCUACAAAGGGGUUAAAAUUUUCUUCUGCCUGCCCAAGGACUCCCACAGCAGCUGGGCACCUCUGUCGCCGCAUCCCCCGCUUCUGGCCGGCUGAACAGCUAGCACAAUUUCUGUCCCUCUCUCCGGGGGGGGCUGCCCAGACAUCCCAAGUCUCUUCCACCCCUGCAUGUUCUCCUCCACCUCUGCAGCUUUUGGGGCUCCCGGCCUCCUCCCUGUCAUGGCCUCCCCCUCCCCCACCCAGACGCAGCUGGGCAGGGGAGAGGCCAGACUCUACUCACCAACGCCGGAUUCCCAAAGAGGAAGUUCUCUGGGAAUCUCCUGCUUUUAACCCCCGUGUGUUCUCAGAGGCGUAUCCAAACCCUUAGUGGCUACAUUAAAUGCCAAUUUUGAAUUUGGCCACUGAUUGGCCCGACUUAGACCUUUCCAAAAACACAUUUCCGGGCCAAACCACGACAGAGGGGAGUGCACAAGAUGUCCACAACAUGGUUCAGGAUUUUAUCCCUUUAGUUUCUUAAUAUCCAGAGGUUCUUACAAAUUAUUAUGUAAAACCUUGCAUCUAUUGCAAAUGUACUGAUUUGCAGAUAUGGAAAGCAAUCUCAUUUCCCACCAUUGUGAAUGCAACCUGCAAUUGUUGCCUGGAGAGUUUGGCUGGAAAGUGUGUUGAUACUUACACACGUGGAUAAAGUUCUGCAGAACUUAAAAUACGAAUAAAAACCCAUGGGGCCAAUUUUUCAAAAUGAAGAGGCCGACUUCCACCUCUUGACUUUGCUAAGUCAGAGUUCAACGAGAUUCCUCUGAAGAGAGCCCUGAGCUCACCUGUGGAUCAUGAGCGUGGCAGUGGCCAGAGGUCUCAGAGAGCAUCUUCCAAGAGGAGCUUUGUUCUGGGACUCACAGGAAGUCAAACGCCCACCUGGUUUCAUGUUUCAGAAUGCUCACUUCCAUCUCAGAGCCACGUCUUGCACUGGCUGAUCUGUGCAAUAGUAUUUCCGUUCUCUGGAAUUUUGACUUGUGUAUGAGUCAUGAUUUACAUCCCAGUGAGAGAAAAAUGAUACAAAUUACAUAACCAGCAAGAAAUCAAAAGGGGAAAAAGAUGGAUGAAAGGAGAAUCAAAUCUACAGAUUUAUGAACUUAAUAGUGCAAUUUACAUAAUGUCUUUACCUCUGUGUUUUAUUAUUGCUUUAUUUAUCUUUUUGUUCUUGGGUUAAUCUCAUAUUCAUUUGUGCCACAGAUAAAUUCCAGAUUAUUAAAAUAUGAAUUAGAAGAGAGGACAUGCUGUCUGAUUAAAAUAAUAUCCGGUUACUACAUGCUGAUAUACACCCAGGCUAAAAUCCAAAUAGUCAAGCAUUAUCAAACUACAGCAUGUUUUAACAGCAUAGCCUGAAACUACUAAUUGUAUUACAAGAAUUAAGGGUGGGUUUUAUUCACUAAAUGAGAACAGCAAAUAAUGAAGAAAAUUAUUUAGCAAGCAGAGGUUGUCCCAGGAUGCAUCUUAAUGUAUCACUGGAGAGCCUUGUGAACAUUUGUUCAGAAAGACAGACUAUUAAAAAUGGCAUAUACAGGAAAAACCAGAACUUUUGAAAGAGAAUUGAGGCUGAUUAAUGUCUAAAAUAUUUAUUUUAGAAGUUCCUUAAAGAACAGAUAAGAGAGAUACCAGCUAUUGCUACGGCAGCAAAAUUUGUGUUGGAUUCUGAUUAGAAUGCAAUGCACUACAUUUUUAUUAACAUGCUAAAAUUAUUGCAUCAUUCACUUCCUCAGUGAAACAAAUAAAAAUGUAUAAAUAAAUAACUAAAAAUCAAUAGUGAUAUGAUUAAAACAUUUGUCAUAGGAAUAAAAACAUUUUAUUCCUCACCCAUUACCAUAAGAAAAAGGGCGGGAUAUCUCCACAAUGUCUCAAGUUCACCAACACUGUGUUCCAAAGAUCUGAUUCAGGCCAU